GCUUUUUAAAAAAUUACGUAUAGACUUGGACAGGUAAGAAUUGGAAGCAAAGAGAUGUGGACUUAGAGAAGUCUGGAGCCGCCUUGCUCCCCACAGUUUCAAGAUCACCCUUUACCAUACAC
This 122-nucleotide small nucleolar RNA is filed under the name Dasypus novemcinctus (nine-banded armadillo). RNAcentral describes it as "Small nucleolar RNA SNORA38 (ENSDNOG00000029613.1)". The record is from RNAcentral. Lineage: Eukaryota; Metazoa; Chordata; Mammalia; Cingulata; Dasypodidae.